UGAUACAGACCCAGAAGCUUGCUGACAGUUGGAGAUGCUUGGAGACGCAGACAGAAGGAUGUUUGGAGAUGCUAAGCUAAGAAACGAAGCCCAGAGUUUGCCCUGGAGAAUCCAAGAGAGAAUUCCUAUUCACUUAGAGAGAAAGCCAUUGGAAUCAGAAGCUGAAAGCAAUGCAACUUGGGAGCAGAGGACCAGCAGACACCGACUACGUGUCUUCCCAGCUGAUAGAGAUCACCCACUUUCACACUACCAGCAUAUCAAGGCAAUUUAUCUGUGAACCAGGCAUGAGAUUGGAGACCUCCCAUGAAGUAAUUUGAGGGAAAGAUGUCCAUGCACCACCAGAGGACCUUCAUGGUAUCUGUGAUUCUAGAUGCUCAGAAGUGAUACGAACCACUUUUCUUAUUUGACAAAGGAAAAUAUUUUUAACAAGUUUUUUAGUUCAUGGACCUUUGUUCAUAAUGAUGAAAUAUCAUGACAUAUUUCUUCAGAAUCCUAGAGUCAGGAAUAUUUGCUGCUCCUCGAGAUUCCCAUGUCCACCUGAUGAACCAUUCAAUUUUACAGCCAACUGACCACAACAGGAUGGGUGUUGUUUGGAUCACUGGAGUCGUAUAAAGGAGUUCACAGUCAGA
Choloepus didactylus (southern two-toed sloth) is the source of this 629-nucleotide long non-coding RNA. RefSeq lists it as uncharacterized. Lineage: Eukaryota; Metazoa; Chordata; Mammalia; Pilosa; Megalonychidae. The transcript is spliced from 5 exons. The record is from RefSeq and is a predicted model, not a curated record.